CCUACGGGCGGCAGCAGUGAGGAAUAUUGGUCAAUGGACGAGAGUCUGAACCAGCCAAGUAGCGUGAAGGAUGACUGCACUAUGUGUUGUAAACUUCUUUUAUAUGGGAAUAAAAUGUUCCACGUGUGUGAUUUUGUAUGUACCAUAUGAAUAAGCAUCGGCUAACUCCGUGCCAGCAGCCGCGGUAAUACGGAGGAUCCGAGCGUUAUCCGGAUUUAUUGGGUUUAAAGGGAGCGUAGGUGGAUUGUUAAGUCAGUGGGGAAAGUUUGCGGCUCAACCGUAAAAUUGCAGUUGAAACUGGCAGUCUAGAGUACAGUAGAGGUGGGCGGAAUUCGUGGUGUAGCGGUGAAAUGCUUAGAUAUCACGAAGAACUCCGAUUGCGAAGGCAGCUCACUGGACUGCAACUGACACUGAGGCUCGAAAGUGUGGGUAUCAAACAGGAUUAGAUACCCCUGUAGUC
This 460-nucleotide ribosomal RNA is filed under the name uncultured bacterium. RNAcentral's name for it is "partial 16S ribosomal RNA". It matches the Rfam family "Bacterial small subunit ribosomal RNA", at positions 338 to 795 of the family's 1533-position model. The record is from RNAcentral.